RNAcentral lists this ribosomal RNA (301 nucleotides) under uncultured bacterium. RNAcentral's name for it is "partial 16S ribosomal RNA". It matches the Rfam family "Bacterial small subunit ribosomal RNA", at positions 509 to 809 of the family's 1533-position model. The record is from RNAcentral.
CAGCAGCCGCGGUAAUACAGAGGGUGCGAGCGUUACUCGGAAUUACUGGGCGUAAAGCGUGCGUAGGUGGUGGUUUAAGUCCGUUGUGAAAGCCCUGGGCUCAACCUGGGAAUUGCAGUGGAUACUGGGUCACUAGAGUGUGGUAGAGGAUAGUGGAAUUUCCGGUGUAGCAGUGAAAUGCGUAGAGAUCGGAAGGAACAUCUGUGGCGAAGGCGACUAUCUGGGCCAACACUGACACUGAGGCACGAAAGCGUGGGGAGCAAACAGGAUUAGAUACCCCGGUAGUCCCUGUCUCUUAUCC